RNAcentral lists this long non-coding RNA (1281 nucleotides) under Brachypodium distachyon (stiff brome). RNAcentral describes it as "long non-coding RNA (BDIS_LNC005943)". The record is from RNAcentral. Lineage: Eukaryota; Viridiplantae; Streptophyta; Magnoliopsida; Poales; Poaceae.
UAGAGCUUGUCUAUCUCGGCUAAUAGAAGUCUUACCUCGGCAAGAGGGCUCCGAACCUAGAUAAAUCUGUGUGUGUGAAUCGUGUGUGUUCUUCUUCACGUCCUCCCUCCUCCGGUUCCUCCUUCGUCCAUCGGCCCCAAGUUUAAGCCAUUCUAUGGCAACUGCCGUGACACCACCACGACACGGAGGGAGUAGUAAAAUAAAAUAUGAGACGACGUGGCUCAACUCAUCUGCGAGUACACGGCGCACCGAUUAAUAGUCUCUUGAUUUUGAUAUAGCUUGCGUUUUCCAUGAGCAGUGGUGGCUUUUUAUAUGCAUCUCUAAACUUGCUGCCAAAUUUCAUUAACUAGUAAAUGAAUAACAAAUUUGCUGACGAUUUUACUUCAACUAGUAACUUUUUUUCCGAAACGGUGUAAAAGCUUUAUCUCAUCAUGUUAAUUAAGAAAGAGUGUACAAAUGAAAAACAAAGAAAAAGAUUAGCCGAAGGCUAACAAGCAAGUCUAUUCUCGCGGUAAAAAGAAUCUCAAAUCGGUGACACCCGCAAACCCCCAAGAGGUAGGCUCCCUUUUAAUUUUACUUGUGAUGACCGUGGGCAUCACCCAGAAUCUUUCAGGACACCCUCAUGUUUCUUCCAUUCAAAAUCUCUCCCAAAAAAAAAAGCAUCGCCAAGAUGGUCAUGCCUUUUCGUCAGGUCCAUUGAAUGUUGAUAAGGGAGCACCACUAAUCCUUGACCGAAUUAAAGCUUGAUCAAAUGAGCAUAUCAACAUGCACAUAUGAGGCCCAACCAAUCUCUAAUCAUUCUCCAACACGCAGCGAGUAUCAACAUUUGAAAAAUAAAUGGGCCUCUGAUUCAUGACCUCUCUUGCAUAGUUGACGUAAGUUGUAGUUUGGCCAUCCUCAUCGUUGAAGUCGAUCAGUAGUCCAAACUCAACUUUGAAUAAUGAGCCAUGCAAAAAAAAAAACUUUCCAAACAACAGUCUACAUGAUUGAACUGGCCCGCGGUUCCUUCGUCGAACUGAGCUCUAUACGCCCACAUGUUGUCGAAUAGACUCCCGAGGUGCACACACUCCGUGGAUGUCGUUCGGAACAUCUUCCUCCAGGUUCACGCCUCGUAAUCGUCCCCAUAGAUCAAUGAAUUCAACGAGAUGUUACACCGUGAGACCUCCAGAAAUGUUGAUGUUUCUAACCCUAAGAUGACGGCCCAACACUUUUUUGACACAUGAAUUCUUCAGUUUUGAAUUUGCAAAGAUGGAAGGAGCUAUGUCUUUGGGCUUGCACCCG